CUCAGGUGCUGGGCGGUCAGGCCGAAACACAAGAACCCACUUACCCAGUCUCUCUCCCUCGUGCGGCCUGCGGCCGUUCCUCACGAGGCCACGACCCACUCCUCUGCCACGAACUAGCCUUCUCCCUCCCCCUGCGCACACCUUCCUCCAUGCCCGGCGAGAUCUGCUGCAUUGACCUCCAUUGACCUGGCCCUCGCGUUGGCCCGUCUCCACCGAGUCUAAUCCUCCUACGCCGGAGCUCCUCCCUCCUAGGCCUUCUUCUCUGCCAAACCGGUAGCGAAGCACCCCGCGCGAGCAGACGCGUUCCCCAGCCCCGGACCGGCGGCGACGCGACCCCGCGCCCUGCUUCUCCCUGCCGGCGUCAUCCUGCACCCUGCAGUGUCGAUCCCUCGCCAGGUCGAGGCAUCCCGUGACUGGGAGUUCGAUUCCUGCUGGAUCCAGGCCCUUCGCGUCCAACAACGACAACAAAAGAGGGCAGCGAUUGCUACGGUCGCCCCCGCAGAUUCAACCGGAGACGGCCCCCUCUGCUCGCGCGCCCCUCGGAGAUCCCCUACAGUUCAACUCCCUGGCCGCGAAGUACAGGGAGGGUUCUCUUGAAGCCUUGCCUGAAACUCUCCGUCCAAAGCCAUGACUGCAGGUGUCAUGUGGACGACGGCGAGGUGGAUGCGGCGUAGUACCUCACUAAAUUCCCCUCUCGCUCUUCGUCCACAGGAUCAAUUCACCGAAGCAACAUCAGCAACAAUACGUGCAAGCAAACAAGCAAGCAGGGAGGCUGGUUGAUUGAUGAAGAGUAGCCGCAGCCUCCUCAUAGGUAACCUUCGAUCCGAACAUAACUAACUCUCGAUGGACGGAAUUCAUGUGAGCUUGUGAACAAAAACUGUUUCACGUGCUGGAGUGGAGUAUACGAGCUGGCACUCUAAAACCCAACAUAAACAUUUUUGUUGAUUAUGGUAUCCAUAUCAGCCUAACUAUUUGCUUGCCUAAUGAUUUUGUUAGUUGGUUGCCUGAUAUGUCUAUCUGCCUAGUUAAAUAUUUCUAUUGAAUAUGGUAUGCAUAUCAGCUAGACUGAAACUUGUACAGGAACACAUUAGUUCAAUAAUAAAAAAGGCCUGCUUGGAUGGUUUAUACAGUUACAACUCUGUCAGUUCUAAACUUCUAAUACUACAAGAUAUGUGUACAAGUAGAUGCACAUCAGUGCUAGCUGAAUAAUGCCGCUAGAAUCACAUUGAUUUUACAAAGGAUUAGCACAUAGCAUUACUGUUAUGCUAUUUUUAGCACACAUAAAAGCAAACUCUCCUAGGGGAAAGCAACACUGCAUCUGAAUGAAAGAUUCUCUGUCUUUCAGUGGUCAUUGAUGCCACACACAAGAUGCAGUUAACAACAUGAUAUUGCUUUGAUAUGUGCACUGACAGUUCCAUCUGUUUGAUCAAUUCAUCGAUUCUCCUCCCUCAGUUGGAGCUGCUUCCAAUUUCCCUGUUGGCACUUCUGUUAGCCAUUAGUACAUCAUUAAGCAAAUAAAAGUAAGAAGUUGUGGGCUGUACUUUAGAUCGAGAAAGUCAGCAGCAAAAAACAUGCUUUCUUCUAGUCAAUAUAUAACCUUUUUGACAUUGAGUUCUAGUCAAAAAAACAUGCUUUCUUCUAGUCAAUGAUUUGUACACUAACUUGCCUAAUAAUGACACAAAGUUGCCUACAAUAUUUUUUUGGCAUAUGAUUUACGGCAACUAGCAAACGGAAGGGAGGAGAGAGGUGUCUGAGUACCAGCGACCAGCAAGAGAAGCAAGAGGAAGAGCCAAGGGGGCAGCGCCAUCCGUGCGUCACAACCAUCUAGGGGGUGGAGCUAGAUCCGGGAAAGCGUUGUCUCGAGUGGUCGAGGAACUGGGCAGUAAAUCACCGGGCCUCACUAAAUUCUAAAACGGUGUCAAGGCAACAUGGUUUUGUGCACACGCCCACGCAAGAAGCUUCAAAAUCUACUUCGAGGUGUUGUACAAAUCAAAUAUUAGUUACUCAUGCUAGAAGAAACAAGGGGAAAACAAUGGAAAAGGAGUUGCAAUUAGGAUGAACAAGGCGAGGAAAAAUCAAACCUUCUCUUUCUUUUCCUCCUCUGCACCCUGGUUCAUUUUUAGCAAGCAAGCAAGAUUUUUGCUACACACUUCAAGAGUUUUGUAAAACAUGAGGCAUCUGAGAGGGCACAUCAAGAUGGAAGCUCACCUUCAGGUCCAUGCCCACCGAGGGGCGGCAGUUGUGGCAAUGGAGGAGAGGACAGAUGGAGAAGGGGAGGUCAAGGGGGGAUGUUUGGGGAGGUAGCGACUGGGAAGGAGGGAAGGAGGGUUUGCUGUGUCGGCGUGAGCCUAACGCUAAUGUUGGGAACGGAGCAGCAGUUGCGAUUAUGACAGAUUCUCAAGGGGGCCGUUUUUUUCCUUUUUUGGUUUGCCAGCUGGAUCCAGGGAGAGGUCCACUACUAAUUUUGGGGUGUGUGCCGUGGACUGCUAGCCAGCCAGCGAUUGCUGGCUAGUCGCGUCCUUUUUGCAUAUGGAAAAAGAGGUAAUAGCACCCCAGGUAUCCUAACUUGCACCCAAUGUGAUGAUCUAGUCCCAAAGUUGCAAAACUAGAUCAACUCAUAC
Molecule: ribosomal RNA, 2621 nt
Filed under: Triticum aestivum (bread wheat)
Lineage: Eukaryota; Viridiplantae; Streptophyta; Magnoliopsida; Poales; Poaceae
Description: partial small subunit ribosomal RNA
Source: RNAcentral